AUUUCUUUCAUUGACUUGAAGCCUAUCGAGUUGAGCAUUGAUGAGCAACCUUGGUGGCUGUGACAUGUUAUGGUAUAUUGUCCUCUUUAUAUAUGUAAUUUAGGUUUUUAAUUACAUUGCAAAUUAUACGAGGGAUAUAACUUUAGAUAUUAAAGAUACAUCCUUUGAUGACUAUUCGGUCCUGAAAUGGUAGGAUAAAAAAUUCAAUUCUUGAAUAUAUAUGUAUAUUGUUCUCCUAGGCUUAAUAAUAGAUGAUUCGGUUUCGAUUUGAAAGUCUAGAUUGGUCAUGUCUGGCUGUAGAUCUUGUAAAUUUGGAUAAAAACAAUGUCCCUAAUAAUAACGGAUUGUUCUAUCGUUCUUGUGUUAAGUGUUUGAAUAUGUAUUUUAUAGAAAAGAGUCUGAUGAGCUGGAUGUGUGUCCAUAUGAUUCAAGCUUUUAUUAGCUAAUGUCAAUUUAUAACAGAGGUAUAAAUAACCAUAUGAUUUCUUUCAUUUCCCAAUUAGCACCAAUUAUAGAAAGGUACAUGGUUCUAAUUCAUCUCUCAGUUAAGUCAAAACUUUCUUAAUGAUGUGGCAUUCAUAUAAAUUUAUAUUGUAGUGAUCAUUGGAGGCUUCUUGCUAUCUAUCCAUGUAACUAGACCAUGUAUUGGUUUUGUUCUUUGCAAUGGGUCCAUUUAAAGGUAUGUAUUUUAAAUUUAAACAAUGAUGAGAUUAAUUAUAUUGAUUGCCUUUGUUUGUUGUAUAUUUAUAGUGCCAUAUAUAACUAAAAGAUGUGGAAUGUGGGUAUUAUGUGAUGACGUAAAUGCAUAAAAUCAUCACUAAGAGUAUAACCAACUCAUUUCACAAGCAUUUUCAAAGUUUGAACACAUAUUGUGACUCAGAUGAGAGGAAUACGCGACAUUUGGUCAGAGUACUUCUUAAAUUUAACAAAAUUAGAGUAGAAGAUGUAUAAGUUGUACGUUUCUCCUUUUGUAUAACAAAAUUAGAUUUUUAUUGACAAUUUAUUUGGUUUUGUUCUACAUAUGCUACGAAUUGGUGGUUGUAUUUAAUAUUAAAUGUAGCUGGUUAUAUAUAAUAGUGGGUUCCUAUA
Molecule: long non-coding RNA, 1089 nt
Organism: Neltuma alba
Lineage: Eukaryota; Viridiplantae; Streptophyta; Magnoliopsida; Fabales; Fabaceae
Exons: 2
Source: RefSeq, a predicted model, not a curated record